RNAcentral lists this ribosomal RNA (498 nucleotides) under uncultured bacterium. Its description in RNAcentral is "partial 16S ribosomal RNA". It matches the Rfam family "Bacterial small subunit ribosomal RNA", at positions 355 to 853 of the family's 1533-position model. The record is from RNAcentral.
UAAGGAAUAUUGGUCAAUGGACGAAAGUCUGAACCAGCCAUGCCGCGUGGAGGAUGAAGGUCCUCUGGAUUGUAAACUUCUUUUAUCUGGGACGAAAAAAGGUCUUUCUAGAUCGUCUGACGGUACCAGAUGAAUAAGCACCGGCUAACUCCGUGCCGGCAGCCGCGGUAAUACGGAGGGUGCAAGCGUUAUCCGGAUUCACUGGGUUUAAAGGGUGCGUAGGUGGGUUGGUAAGUCAGUGGUGAAAUCUUCGAGCUUAACUCGGAAACUGCCAUUGAUACUAUCAGUCUUGAAUAUUGUGGAGGUUAGCGGAAUAUGUCAUGUAGCGGUGAAAUGCUUAGAUAUGACAUAGAACACCAAUUGCGAAGGCAGCUGGCUACACAUAUAUUGACACUGAGGCACGAAAGCGUGGGGAUCAAACAGGAUUAGAUACCCUGGUAGUCCACGCCCUAAACUAUGGAUACUCGACAUACGCGAUACACUGUGUGUGUCUGAGCG